GACGAACGCUGGCGGCGUGCUUAACACAUGCAAGUCGAACGGAAAGGCCCUUCGGGGUACUCGAGUGGCGAACGGGUGAGUAACACGUGGGUGAUCUGCCCUGCACUUUGGGAUAAGCCUGGGAAACUGGGUCUAAUACCGAAUAGGACCACGCGCUUCAUGGUGUGUGGUGGAAAGCUUUUGCGGUGUGGGAUGGGCCCGCGGCCUAUCAGCUUGUUGGUGGGGUAAUGGCCUACCAAGGCGACGACGGGCAGCCGGCCUGAGAGGGUGACCGGCCACACUGGGACUGAGAUACGGCCCAGACUCCUACGGGAGGCAGCAGUGGGGAAUAUUGCACAAUGGGCGCAAGCCUGAUGCAGCGACGCCGCGUGAGGGAUGACGGCCUUCGGGUUGUAAACCUCUUUCAAUAGGGACGAAGCGCAAGUGACGGUACCUAUAGAAGAAGCACCGGCCAACUACGUGCCAGCAGCCGCGGUAAUACGUAGGGUGCGAGCGUUGUCCGGAAUUACUGGGCGUAAAGAGCUCGUAGGUGGUUUGUCGCGUUGUUCGUGAAAACUCACAGCUUAACUGUGGGCGUGCGGGCGAUACGGGCAGACUAGAGUACUGCAGGGGAGACUGGAAUUCCUGGUGUAGCGGUGGAAUGCGCAGAUAUCAGGAGGAACACCGGUGGCGAAGGCGGGUCUCUGGGCAGUAACUGACGCUGAGGAGCGAAAGCGUGGGGAGCGAACAGGAUUAGAUACCCUGGUAGUCCACGCCGUAAACGGUGGGUACUAGGUGUGGGUUCCUUCCUUGGGAUCCGUGCCGUAGCUAACGCAUUAAGUACCCCGCCUGGGGAGUACGGCCGCAAGGCUAAAACUCAAAGGAAUUGACGGGGGCCCGCACAAGCGGCGGAGCAUGUGGAUUAAUUCGAUGCAACGCGAAGAACCUUACCUGGGUUUGACAUGCACAGGACGCCGGCAGAGAUGUCGGUUCCCUUGUGGCCUGUGUGCAGGUGGUGCAUGGCUGUCGUCAGCUCGUGUCGUGAGAUGUUGGGUUAAGUCCCGCAACGAGCGCAACCCUUGUCCUAUGUUGCCAGCGGGUUAUGCCGGGGACUCGUAGGAGACUGCCGGGGUCAACUCGGAGGAAGGUGGGGAUGACGUCAAGUCAUCAUGCCCCUUAUGUCCAGGGCUUCACACAUGCUACAAUGGCCGGUACAAAGGGCUGCGAUGCCGUGAGGUGGAGCGAAUCCUUUCAAAGCCGGUCUCAGUUCGGAUCGGGGUCUGCAACUCGACCCCGUGAAGUCGGAGUCGCUAGUAAUCGCAGAUCAGCAACGCUGCGGUGAAUACGUUCCCGGGCCU
Molecule: ribosomal RNA, 1337 nt
Filed under: uncultured bacterium
Lineage: Bacteria
Description: bacterial SSU rRNA
Rfam family: Bacterial small subunit ribosomal RNA
Source: RNAcentral